CUUUUGACUCUGGUUGAAAUGGAAAUCAUUUUGUGCGGAUGUUGGGCACAAAAGAUUGAAAUAAAAAAAAUCCGAGCUGUG
Molecule: small RNA, 81 nt
Filed under: Flavobacterium sp. 1
Lineage: Bacteria; Pseudomonadati; Bacteroidota; Flavobacteriia; Flavobacteriales; Flavobacteriaceae
Description: Flavo-1 RNA
Source: RNAcentral